RNAcentral lists this ribosomal RNA (539 nucleotides) under uncultured bacterium. RNAcentral's name for it is "bacterial SSU rRNA". It matches the Rfam family "Bacterial small subunit ribosomal RNA", at positions 28 to 526 of the family's 1533-position model. The record is from RNAcentral.
AAUGAACGUUGGCGGCGUGGAUUAGGCAUGCAAGUCGAGCGGUAGAGGUCCUCUCACCCCGAUUCAUUUAGCCGCCGGUCAAUGACCGGCGGCCGAGUGGGCGAGGUGAGAGGGCCUUGAGAGCGGCGAAAGGGAGAGUAACGCGUAGUUACGUGCCCCGAGGUCUGGAAUAGCCACGGGAAACUGUGGGUAAUGCCAGAUGAUCUCUUCGGAGCAAAGGUGUGAUUCCGCCUUGGGAGCGGACUGCGUUGUACUAGCUAGUUGGUAGGGUAAUGGCCUACCAAGGCGAUGAUGCAUAGCGGGCGUGAGAGCGUGGCCCGUCUCACUGGGACUGAGACACUGCCCAGACACCUACGGGUGGCUGCAGUCGAGAAUCUUCGGCAAUGCGCGAAAGCGUGACCGAGCGACGCCGUGUGUGGGAUGAAGGCCUUCGGGUUGUAAACCACUGUCGUAGGGGAGGAAGGCUCCGUGAAGAACGGGGCUUGACCUAUCCUAGGAGGAAGGACGGGCUAAGUUCGUGCCAGCAGCCGCAGUAAAAC